GAUGAACGCUGGCGGCGUGCCUAAUACAUGCAAGUCGAGCGAACGGACGAGAAGCUUGCUUCUCUGAUGUUAGCGGCGGACGGGUGAGUAACACGUGGAUAACCUACCUAUAAGACUGGGAUAACUUCGGGAAACCGGAACUAAUACCGGAUGAUAUUUUGAACCGCAUGGUUCAAAAGUGAAAGACGGUCUUGCUGUCACUUAUAGAUGGAUCCGCGCUGCAUUAGCUAGUUGGUAAGGUAACGGCUUACCAAGGCAACGAUGCAUAGCCGACCUGAGAGGGUGAUCGGCCACACUGGAGCUGAGACACGGUCCAGACUCCUACGGGAGGCAGCAGUAGGGAAUCUUCCGCAAUGGGCGAAAGCCUGACGGAGCAACGCCGCGUGAGUGAUGAAGGUCUUCGGAUCGUAAAACUCUGUUAUUAGGGAAGAACAUAUGUGUAAGUAACUGUGCACAUCUUGACGGUACCUAAUCAGAAAGCCACGGCUAACUACGU
RNAcentral lists this ribosomal RNA (496 nucleotides) under uncultured bacterium. RNAcentral's name for it is "partial 16S ribosomal RNA". It matches the Rfam family "Bacterial small subunit ribosomal RNA", at positions 28 to 506 of the family's 1533-position model. The record is from RNAcentral.